GGAGCCCAAGCUGCGAGGGACGUGCUACGUCUGGUAGACGCCACAUUACCCACACUCACAGGGCUUCUUAACAGGGCAGACAAGAAGGACGUCCGUGCCUGUGUGGUGAGGCUGGUGGUGUCCUUCCUCCUGACCGAUGACAAACCUGUUGUCCUGCAGCUGCUGCAGUAUAAAGACUUGAUGAGGAGCAUCUUUAAGAACCUGCCAGGCGACCACCUGUCCACCGUCCAGCUCCUCCUGACUACUCUGAGGGACAUGGUGGUGAGAAGUGAGUUUGUGUCCAAAACUGCGAAGAUUCACCUCUUCACAAACCAGGCGCUGCACCAGCUGGCUCUGCUUUAUAACUGGACUGGUCGGGUGGACGUUUCCGUCAGCGAGGGGACUCAGG
This is a long non-coding RNA of Branchiostoma floridae (Florida lancelet), 388 nucleotides long. RefSeq lists it as uncharacterized. NCBI's taxonomy places the organism in Eukaryota, Metazoa, Chordata, Leptocardii, Amphioxiformes, Branchiostomatidae. The record is from RefSeq and is a predicted model, not a curated record. The transcript is spliced from 4 exons.